CGCAUCUGUGCAUGCAGCAUAUCAAUAAGCGGAGGAAAAGAAACUAACAAGGAUUCCCCUAGUAACGGCGAGUGAAGCGGGAAGAGCUCAAAUUUGAAAUCUUAAAGGGUUUCCCUUUACGAAUUGUAGUUUAAAGAAGUGUUUUCUGUUGAGGUUUUGGUAAAAGUUCUUUGGAAUAGGACAUCAUAGAGGGUGAGAAUCCCGUAUUUGACCUUUACUUUCAACUUUGUGAUACACUUUCAAAGAGUCGGAUUGUUUGGGAAUGCAGUCCAAAAUGGGUGGUAAAUUUCAUCUAAAGCUAAAUAUUGGCGAGAGACCGAUAGCGAACAAGUACCGUGAGGGAAAGAUGAAAAGAACUUUGAAAAGAGAGUUAAACAGUACGUGAAAUUGUCAAAAGGGAAGCGUUUGACACCAGUGUUGUUUUUCUGAAAAUCAAUUAAAGAACUGUUUAAUGCUAAGCUGUUUAGACUUUAUCAGCUAUCUGUUUAGUUUUGAGCUUUUCUUUAAUGCACUUUCCAGUUAACAAGUCAACAUCAAUUUCUUUUGCUGUAAAAAAGCUUGAGGAAGGUGGCUUGAGAUUCGUCUUAAGUGUUUAUAGCCUCUUGCCUAUGCAGUCGGAGAGAUUGAGGUCUGCAGCGUAGAUCCUUCGGGGCUAAAUGCAUUUGUGCUAAGUUAUAGCAUUUUAUAGACAACUUGUUGACUAUGAUUUGUCUUGUAGCUUACUCGCUUAUGUUAUUUUACCUACGCUUAGGAUGUUGAGUCGUAGAGCACGCAG
This 775-nucleotide ribosomal RNA is filed under the name uncultured Neocallimastigales. Its description in RNAcentral is "partial large subunit ribosomal RNA". It matches the Rfam family "Eukaryotic large subunit ribosomal RNA", at positions 26 to 628 of the family's 3401-position model. The record is from RNAcentral. Lineage: Eukaryota; Fungi; Neocallimastigomycota; Neocallimastigomycetes; Neocallimastigales.